RNAcentral lists this ribosomal RNA (274 nucleotides) under uncultured bacterium. RNAcentral describes it as "partial 16S ribosomal RNA". It matches the Rfam family "Bacterial small subunit ribosomal RNA", at positions 523 to 796 of the family's 1533-position model. The record is from RNAcentral.
AAACGGAGGGUGCGAGCGUUAAUCGGAAUUACUGGGCGUAAAGGGUGCGUAGGCGGCUUGAUAAGUCGGAUGUGAAAGCCCCGGGCUUAACCUGGGAAUUGCAUUCGAUACUGUCAGGCUAGAGUAUGUCAGAGGUUGGCGGAAUUCCUGGUGUAGCGGUGAAAUGCGUAGAUAUCAGGAGGAACACCAGUGGCGAAGGCGGCUAACUGGGGCAAUACUGACGCUGAGGCACGAAAGCGUGGGGAGCAAACAGGAUUAGAAACCCUAGUAGUCC